This 64-nucleotide transfer RNA is filed under the name Perissonemia borneenis. RNAcentral's name for it is "tRNA-Asp". The record is from RNAcentral. Lineage: Eukaryota; Metazoa; Arthropoda; Insecta; Hemiptera; Tingidae.
AAAAAGUUAGUUUAUAAUAAAACAUUAUCUUGUCAAGAUAAAAAUACAAAAUAUGUACUUUUUU